This 293-nucleotide ribosomal RNA is filed under the name uncultured bacterium. Its description in RNAcentral is "partial 16S ribosomal RNA". It matches the Rfam family "Bacterial small subunit ribosomal RNA", at positions 505 to 796 of the family's 1533-position model. The record is from RNAcentral.
GUGCCAGCAGCCGCGGUAAUACGGAGGGUGCGAGCGUUGUUCGGAAUUAUUGGGCGUAAAGCGCACGUAGGCGGCUUUGUAAGUCUCACUGUGAAAGCCCGGGGCUCAACCCCGGGACUGCAGGGGAUACUGCGAGGCUUGAGUCAAGUAGAGGUUGGUAGAAUUCCGGGUGUAGCGGUGGAAUGCGUAGAGAUCCGGAGGAAUACCAGAGGCGAAGGCGGCCAACUGGACUUGUACUGACGCUGAGGUGCGAAAGCGUGGGGAGCGAACAGGAUUAGAUACCCUGGUAGUCC